GAUGAACGCUGGCGGCGUGCCUAAUACAUGCAAGUCGAGCGAACAGACGAGUUUCUUGCUCCUCUCACGUUACCGGCGGACGGGUGAGUCACACGUGGAUAACCUUCCUAUUUGACUUGGAUAACUUCGGGAAACCCUAUCUAAUACCGGAUAAUCUUUUGAACCGCAUGGUUCUAUAGUGUAUGUCGGUUUUGCUGUCUCUUAUCGCUUGAUCCGCGCCUCAUUAGCUAGUUGGUAAGGUAACGGCUUACCAAGGCAACGAUGCGUAGCCGACCUGAGAGGGGGAACGGCGACAGUGGAACUGAGAGACGGACCAGACACCUACGGGAGGCAGCAGAAGGGAAGGUGGCGCAAAGGGGGAAAGCAUGACGGAGGAACGGCGCGUGAGUGAAGAAGGACGGCGGAUCGGAAAACGGUGUUAGUAGGGAAGAACAAAUGUGAAAGUAACGAAGCACGGAGUGACGGUAGCUAAUAAGAAAGCAACGGCUAACUACGUG
This 497-nucleotide ribosomal RNA is filed under the name uncultured bacterium. Its description in RNAcentral is "partial 16S ribosomal RNA". It matches the Rfam family "Bacterial small subunit ribosomal RNA", at positions 28 to 507 of the family's 1533-position model. The record is from RNAcentral.